RNAcentral lists this ribosomal RNA (253 nucleotides) under uncultured bacterium. Its description in RNAcentral is "partial 16S ribosomal RNA". It matches the Rfam family "Bacterial small subunit ribosomal RNA", at positions 524 to 776 of the family's 1533-position model. The record is from RNAcentral.
UACAGAGGUCUCAAGCGUUGUUCGGAUUCAUUGGGCGUAAAGGGUGCGUAGGCGGCGCGGUAAGUCGGGUGUGAAAUCCCGGAGCUCAACUCCGGAACUGCCUUUGAUACUGGCGACCUCGAGGCCGGAAGAGGUUAGUGGAAUUCCCAGUGUAGAGGUGAAAUUCGUAGAUAUUGGGAAGAACACCAGUGGCGAAGGCGGCUAACUGGUCCGGUACUGACGCUGAGGUGCGAAAGCGUGGGGAGCAAACAGG